Molecule: ribosomal RNA, 253 nt
Filed under: uncultured bacterium
Lineage: Bacteria
Description: partial 16S ribosomal RNA
Rfam family: Bacterial small subunit ribosomal RNA
Source: RNAcentral
UACGUAGGGGGCAAGCGUUGUCCGGAUUUAUUGGGCGUAAAGAGCGUGUAGGCGGCCAUGCAGGUCAGCUGUGAAAACUCGAGGCUCAACCUCGAGACGUCGGUUGAAACCGUAUGGCUAGAGUCCGGAAGAGGAGAGUGGAAUUCCCGGUGUAGCGGUGAAAUGCGCAGAUAUCGGGAAGAACACCUAUGGCGAAGGCAGCUCUCUGGGACGGUACUGACGCUGAGACGCGAAAGCGUGGGGAGCAAGCAGG